UCUUUAGCUCAGCUGGAUAGAGCAACUGCCUUCUAAGCAGUAGGUCGGGGGUUCGAGUCCC
Molecule: transfer RNA, 61 nt
Filed under: pig gut metagenome
Rfam family: tRNA
About the family: Transfer RNA (tRNA) molecules are approximately 80 nucleotides in length. Their secondary structure includes four short double-helical elements and three loops (D, anti-codon, and T loops). Further hydrogen bonds mediate the characteristic L-shaped molecular structure. tRNAs have two regions of fundamental functional importance: the anti-codon, which is responsible for specific mRNA codon recognition, and the 3' end, to which the tRNAs corresponding amino acid is attached (by aminoacyl-tRNA synthetases). tRNAs cope with the degeneracy of the genetic code in two manners: having more than one tRNA (with a specific anti-codon) for a particular amino acid; and 'wobble' base-pairing, i.e. permitting non-standard base-pairing at the 3rd anti-codon position.
Source: RNAcentral